RNAcentral lists this ribosomal RNA (526 nucleotides) under uncultured Acinetobacter sp. Its description in RNAcentral is "bacterial SSU rRNA". It matches the Rfam family "Bacterial small subunit ribosomal RNA", at positions 375 to 890 of the family's 1533-position model. Lineage: Bacteria; Pseudomonadati; Pseudomonadota; Gammaproteobacteria; Moraxellales; Moraxellaceae. The record is from RNAcentral.
GCAGCACGCCUGAUCCAGCCAUGCGCGCGUGUGUGAAGAAGGCCUUAUGGUUGUAAAGCACUUUAAGCGAGGAGGAGGCUACUUUAGAUAAUACCUAGAGAUAGUGGACGUUACUCGCAGAAUAAGCACCGGCUAACUCUGUGCCAGCAGCCGCGGUAAUACAGAGGGUGCAAGCGUUAAUCGGAUUUACUGGGCGUAAAGCGCGCGUAGGCGGCUAAUUAAGUCAAAUGUGAAAUCCCCGAGCUUAACUUGGGAAUUGCAUUCGAUACUGGUUAGCUAGAGUGUGGGAGAGGAUGGUAGAAUUCCAGGUGUAGCGGUGAAAUGCGUAGAGAUCUGGAGGAAUACCGAUGGCGAAGGCAGCCAUCUGGCCUAACACUGACGCUGAGGUGCGAAAGCAUGGGGAGCAAACAGGAUUAGAUACCCUGGUAGUCCAUGCCGUAAACGAUGUCUACUAGCCGUUGGGGCCUUUGAGGCUUUAGUGGCGCAGCUAACGCGAUAAGUAGACCGCCUGGGGAGUACGGUCGCA